AUUCCAUGAUGAGGGCACUUUCGUAGUAAUUCUUUGUACCUUUCCCAUGCCUCAUACAAGGACUCAUCAUCCAUUUGUUGGAAAGUAGUGAUCUCGUUCCUCAACUU
RNAcentral lists this small nucleolar RNA (107 nucleotides) under Gossypium barbadense (sea-island cotton). Its description in RNAcentral is "Plant small nucleolar RNA R71". It matches the Rfam family "Plant small nucleolar RNA R71". Rfam says of the family: R71 is a member of the C/D box family of snoRNAs containing the C (UGAUGA) and D (CUGA) box motifs. Multiple nearly identical copies of this snoRNA have been identified in Arabidopsis, and it is thought to function as a 2'-O-ribose methylation guide for 18S ribosomal RNA. Lineage: Eukaryota; Viridiplantae; Streptophyta; Magnoliopsida; Malvales; Malvaceae. The record is from Rfam by way of RNAcentral. RNAcentral also lists the same sequence under 1 other name.